GCAGGAUAAGCCCACGUAACCAGAGAUUAUCCAGUUCUCAUUUGGAAAACACACUCUGCAUUUAUUAUCUCAUAUAUGCCAAGAAAAGAAGGGAAAAAAAAGAAAGCUAAGAAGGCACUGGUUUUCAUCCAAGAAUACAAAAAAAGAGUACUGAAGACUUAGGUACCUAAGAGUGGAAGAAAAUCAAAGCCAAGGCUUGCCAAAAGUCACAAAAUAAUUCAGAUAUGAAUUGUGGAAUCACCACAGAGAUCUCCAAGAUAAGAAAUGCAGUUCUGACUGGCAGCUAUUCUUAAGGUAAAAAUUUGGUAAAACUGCAAAACACUUGUGAAAAGUG
RNAcentral lists this long non-coding RNA (334 nucleotides) under Cyanistes caeruleus (blue tit). RNAcentral describes it as "lncRNA (ENSCCEG00000008286.1)". The record is from RNAcentral. Lineage: Eukaryota; Metazoa; Chordata; Aves; Passeriformes; Paridae.